This 3489-nucleotide long non-coding RNA is filed under the name Homo sapiens (human). Its description in RNAcentral is "HSALNT0207859". Lineage: Eukaryota; Metazoa; Chordata; Mammalia; Primates; Hominidae. The record is from RNAcentral.
GAAUAAUCAGCCUGCUUCAAUAAUGAAUAGCCUCACCCUUUGAUUUAUUCAGUAUCUAGCCGUAUCCUUGCUUAAGAAACCCAGGGGCUAAUCUUGAAAUAAACCGGGCAUGAAUUUGAGAUUGUGGAAUCCUACAUUCUCAGAAAAAUCACUGAGGGGGGUUAAUCCAUAAGCUAGUUGCAGUCAUGGUGAUGCCAGCCAGACCUCCAGGUGAUCCGUUACUGAAGAUAGCCAUCAGAGUAAGACAUGCAAACCUGCACCCUGCACCACUCCUGCUCAUAGUUUCCAUGCCUCCUACUUCUUAAAAUCCCUUUAGCUAGCCUAAAAUUUUGAAAUAGUCUUUGAGGCGCUAGUCCACCAUCUCCUCAGGUUGCUAGCUCUUGAAUAAACCUGCUUUUCCUGCACCAACUCUUGUCUUGCAAGUCUUGCUUUUGAGCAGUGAGCAGUGAUCAGCUGACCCUUAGUUUGGUUACACUAUCACUCAGGAAAUUCCAAGCAUUUUAGAAGGUCUGUGGCAGGAACCAGGAACUAAGUUCAAAUUUAUUUUUUAUUAUACCACAGGUCCCAACUCCCAUGACUACCUGGAUGGUGACAAAGACGAAUUAUCUCUUCAUCCUUCUUUCUCACUCUAAAUAUACACAGACAUGCUAUUAGGAGGGAAAACUUUCCCUCUACCAACUUUGGUUCAGUGGGUGGGAGCCUGUGAAUUAACUAUAGACAGGUUAGCAGGGGGAAAGAAAACAAGUUGUAUUCAUAACUUGUGGAAGCAUUCAGAUGAAGAGGCUUGAUGAAGAGCUAGAGACAGAAGUUUAGUUAUCAACUCAUAGGGGAAAAGAAGGAGGGAGAAAUGACUUCUAUAGGAAAACAAAUGACUUUUGGGAAAGACAAAUAGAAGCUUUGGAUAAAGUUUUACACAAUUUUCUUGGAAUAUCUCCUGUCUGGGUGAAGUAAUCCUCACACGGUUAACAAGAAUCCUGGACAAAAAUAUAAUUAUGAGUAAGUGUUAAUCAGGCUACACUUUGACCCACUUCCUUGUAACCAAAACUCACGAACACUAGCUACUGAUAAUUUGCAUUCUCAUUGUUCCCAUAGAUAAGAUCUUUGACAUUAGAAUCAUAAGGCUUUUGUUUAAGAAUUGUUUAUGCAGAUCCUGAAUUCCGGCAGAACAGCUGACACCACCAACUUUAAAGAGCCCAACUGAUGAACUGAUCAGCAUGAGAAUACUGUUUUUUCAUCUCUCUGUCCCAUGACUUCACUCUGCAUUCUUCAACCAAUUAGUGAUCUCUUAUUUCCACCUACUCCAAAUCCUUAAAAACAACAGCCUCAAACUCUUUGAGGAAAUGGAUUUGAGGUUUCCUUCCAUCUUUUGGUUCAGCAGCCCUGCAAUUAAACCUCUUUCUCUGCUGCAACCCAGUGUCUUGGCAUAUUGACAUGCUGUGCACAUCAGGCAAAAGACCUAUUACCAUUACAUGAGGACCCCUCCGGAGGGAGAUAAUGGUGGGGGCAUUUCUGGGAGGCUCUGCUUUAGUCAGGUGAGAGAAGUUCAGGGUGCACGUGUUGCCGCAGGAAUCGCUGGUACAUGCCAUCCUGGCCAUAGGAGGGCUGGACCAGCCCCAGCCCCAGCAGGGUCAGCAGCAAAAGCAGAAGCAAUGAAUGGGUCCUCUGCAGAGCCAUCAGUAUCUUAGAGGUGCCUAGAAAAGAAAGCAAGGGGCAGGAGAAAUAAGAGAGAAGUUGCUGUGGCCAGUACAAUGACACAGGGCAGGGACUGACUGCGUGGCUGCCAGGUUUGUGUGGACAGAGUAUAAAAAGAGAGAAAAGGGUGAGGUCAGGCCCCGUCUCCUCAUGAUGCUUUCACAGUAUCUGUCAUCCCGGCCCUGUGGUUUGGCAUCAUAGUGCUGGGUCAGGAAGUGUGUGUACCUGGAGUUAUCCUGAGCCAGGGUCGGUGGGGUCAGACCCAGACCCAGCACGAAGACCAACAACAAAACGCCCAGGCCCAUCACCAUCUCUUCCAACACAGGCUCCUGCGGAGGGCAAAAGGAGGUCUAUAAGCAUGAACUUAUUCAAUAACGGAAGUAACAGGUAAAGAAGGAAAAGCACACGUGGCAAGAAGAACCACGUCUCCAGGAAGAGGCAACACUACUGAUUGAAGGACAGUGGGGACAAAGUCCUGCUGACAUGCCUGUAUUUCCAAACAAAGACAAAAAUUAAACAUUUGCUUUUCAACCAACUCUGGGCUUUGUGCCCACUCACUCUUUGUUCCCAUUCCCUCUUUCCCAAGUAUUUCAUGGCAUUCUUCCGGGAAUAACUGUUUACAGAGAAUUACAGAGAAUCUGCUUAAAUACAGAUUCAAUAAAAACUCCUAAAGAAAGGUUUCACUGACCUUCAUUGGUCCACUUUUUUAUCCAGCUACUUUAAUUUGAGUCACAGUGACCAAUGCUUCCAACAAUAACUUGACAAACCUCUUACUCUUGCCUGCUUAUAACCUGAUUAUCUGUUUUCAACAAUAGCUAAAGCCAUUCCUCUUUUCCUGGAAUGAUUUUUUCCAUCCUCUCUGCCAAACGAUAGUUCAUCUCCACAUUACUAGAGUGCCUCAUGUCCUGUUACUAACAUCGUACCACUCCAUGGAGUCAUAGAACAAGAGUGGGAGGGGCCUCUGAGACUCUGUCCACCCCUCAUAUUAAAGAAGAGCCAACUGAGGAACAGAGAAAGAGACAUGUAUUGCCCAAGGAACUCAUUGCAUUCGCCGGCCUGGAAGCUUUCCAAUGCACCACACAAUUUUUUUUUUUUUUUUUUUUAAGACGGAGUCUUGCUCUGUCACCCAGGCUAGAGUGCAGUGACGCAAUCUCUGUUCACUGUAACCUCCGCCUCCCAGGUUCAAGAGAGUCUCCUGUCUCAGCCUCCCGAGUAGCUGGGGUUACAGGUGCUCACCACCGUGCCCGGCUAAUUUUUGUAUUUUUAGUAGAGACGAGGUUUCACCAUCUUGGCCAGGCUGGUCUCGAACUCCUGAUCUUGUGAUGCACCCACCUCGGCCUCCCAAAGUGCUGGGAUUACAGGCAUGAGCCACCGUGCCGGGCCCACACAACUUUUAUAUUCCAUACUAGUACUUUCUAGACAAUCAGAGCUAACUUUAAAGGGGCCACUGAAAGUUGCUGUUCGAAGGAAACCUACAUUGACUAUUACCAUAAAUUCAAAAAUUAUUUUACUCUGCUUGUCAUCAGUAAAAGAAUUGCUUGAAUUGAAGCGUAUGUAAUAAACCUAUCCUCUUGCAAAACUUGUUAGUGGCUCUGUGGUUAAGUAAGUCUUGAAUACCUGAGGCUGCUUCUGGGAAGGUGGUCCUGUGCCACAGAUAAUGAUGUCCCUUGGGUUUCUACUGAUUACAUUAUGACUUGAUUAUAAGAUUUUUACUGUCACGAGGGAGGGUCUUGGCUCAUCUGAGAUUUCCCUAGCCCCCUGAGUGGUGCUGAAAUUGUUUUAAUAAAGAUGUUGCGC